UUCAUACUCCCUCUCUCCAGAAAUACUCGUCGGAGAAAUGGAUGUAUCUAGACGUAUUUUAGUUUUAGAUACAUUCGUCUUUAUCAAUUUCUUUGACAAGUAUUUUCAGACGGAGGGAGUAUAUU
Non-coding RNA from Triticum aestivum (bread wheat), 125 nucleotides. The record is from Rfam. Lineage: Eukaryota; Viridiplantae; Streptophyta; Magnoliopsida; Poales; Poaceae.